Molecule: long non-coding RNA, 260 nt
Filed under: Lathyrus oleraceus (garden pea)
Lineage: Eukaryota; Viridiplantae; Streptophyta; Magnoliopsida; Fabales; Fabaceae
Description: Pisum sativum (pea) long non-coding RNA (PSAT_LNC024347)
Source: RNAcentral
AACAGAUAGCCAAUCAAUGGUCUUACAUCUGACUCCACAAAAGAAACAUAACAGGAAAUGGAGUGCCAAUAAAUGGUCUUAUAUCCAGCUCCCCAAAAGGAACAGGAAACAGAUAACCAAUCAAUGGUCUUACAUCUGACUCCUCAAACGAAACAAAUAACAAAUGCAAAAGCAAAAUGCAAACAAUAUGCAAAAGCAACAUGAAGGAUGCACAAGUAAGCAAACAAUCAAUAAAUUAGCACACUCUAUACACAACCAAG